UACGAAGGGGGCGAGCGUUGUUCGGAUUUACUGGGCGUAAAGGGCGCGCAGGCGGCGCAUUUUGUCAGGCGUGAAAGCCCCGGGCUUAACCUGGACUGCGUUUGAUACGGAUGGGCUAGAGUUCGGGAGAGGAGAGUGGAAUUCCCAGUGUAGAGGUGAAAUUCGUAGAUAUUGGGAAGAACACCGGUGGCGAAAGCGGCUCUCUGGACCGAGACUGACGCUGAGGCGCGAAAGCGUGGGGAUCAAACAGG
RNAcentral lists this ribosomal RNA (251 nucleotides) under uncultured bacterium. RNAcentral's name for it is "partial 16S ribosomal RNA". It matches the Rfam family "Bacterial small subunit ribosomal RNA", at positions 524 to 776 of the family's 1533-position model. The record is from RNAcentral.